GAUGAACGCUAGCUACAGGCUUAACACAUGCAAGUCGAGGGGCAGCAUGAACUUAGCUUGCUAAGUUUGAUGGCGACCGGCGCACGGGUGAGUAACGCGUAUCCAACCUUCCGUACACUCAGGGAUAGCCUUUCGAAAGAAAGAUUAAUACCUGAUGGUAUGAUGAGAUCGCAUGGUAUCAUCAUUAAAGAUUUAUCGGUGUACGAUGGGGAUGCGUUCCAUUAGGUAGUAGGCGGGGUAACGGCCCACCUAGCCUACGAUGGAUAGGGGUUCUGAGAGGAAGGUCCCCCACAUUGGAACUGAGACACGGUCCAAACUCCUACGGGAGGCAGCAGUGAGGAAUAUUGGGUCAAUGGACGAGAGUCUGAACCAGCCAAGUAGCGUGAAGGAUGAAGGUCCUACGGAUUGUAAACUUCUUUUAUAAGGGAAUAAAACCUCCCACGUGUGGGAGCUUGUAUGUACCUUAUGAAUAAGCAUCGGCUAACUCCGUGCCAGCAGCCG
Molecule: ribosomal RNA, 501 nt
Filed under: uncultured bacterium
Lineage: Bacteria
Description: bacterial SSU rRNA
Rfam family: Bacterial small subunit ribosomal RNA
Source: RNAcentral